UACGGGGGGAGCAAGCGUUGUUCGGAUUUACUGGGCGUAAAGGGCGCGUAGGCGGCCACCGCAAGUCGACUGUGAAAUCUCCGGGCUUAACCCGGAAAGGUCAGCCGAUACUGCGGGGCUAGAGUGCAGAAGGGGCAACUGGAAUUCUCGGUGUAGCGGUGAAAUGCGUAGAUAUCGAGAGGAACACCUGCGGCGAAGGCGGGCUGCUGGGCUGACACUGACGCUGAGGCGCGAAAGCUAGGGGAGCGAACGGG
RNAcentral lists this ribosomal RNA (254 nucleotides) under uncultured bacterium. RNAcentral describes it as "partial 16S ribosomal RNA". It matches the Rfam family "Bacterial small subunit ribosomal RNA", at positions 524 to 776 of the family's 1533-position model. The record is from RNAcentral.